RNAcentral lists this ribosomal RNA (343 nucleotides) under Orectogyrus cyanicollis. RNAcentral's name for it is "partial 12S ribosomal RNA". Lineage: Eukaryota; Metazoa; Arthropoda; Insecta; Coleoptera; Gyrinidae. The record is from RNAcentral.
UAACAAUUUAAAUUUAUAAAUUAAAGUAUUAAUAGUUAUGUUCUUUAAAUUUAAAAAAUUUGGCGGUAUUUUAGUCUAUUCAGAGGAACCUGUUAUGUAAUUGAUAAUCCACGAUUAGAAAUACUUAAUUUAUAAAUUUGUAUAUCGUUGUUUAAAUAAUUUUAUAAGAAUAUUAAUUAUUAAUUUAUUUAAUUAAAUAAGUAAUCAAAUCAAGGUGCAGUUUAUAGUUAAGAAUAAAUGGGUUACAAUAAAAUUUAUUUUUGGAUUAUAUUAUUAAAUUAAUAUAUGAAAUUGGAUUUGAUAGUAAAUAUAUAUAUAUAUAUAUGUUGAUUUAAGCUCUAAA